AGCGAACGCUGGCGGCAGGCCUAACACAUGCAAGUCGAACGAACCUUUCGGGGUUAGUGGCGGACGGGUGAGUAACACGUGGGAACGUGCCUUUAGGUUCGGAAUAACUCAGGGAAACUUGUGCUAAUACCGAAUGUGCCCUUCGGGGGAAAGAUUAAUCGCCUUUAGAGCGGCCCGCGUCUGAUUAGCUAGUUGGUUGAGGUAAUGGCUCACCAAGGCGACGAUCAGUAGCUGGUCUGAGAGGAUGAUCAGCCACAUUGGGACUGAGACACGGCCCAAACUCCUACGGGAGGCAGCAGUGGGGAAUCGUGCGAAAUGGGCGAAAGCCUGACGCAGCCAUGCCGCGUGAAUGAUGAAGGUCUUAGGAUUGUAAAAUUCUUUCAACGGGGACGAUAAUGACGGUACCCGGAGAAGAAGCCCCGGCUAACUUCGUG
RNAcentral lists this ribosomal RNA (434 nucleotides) under uncultured bacterium. RNAcentral's name for it is "partial 16S ribosomal RNA". It matches the Rfam family "Bacterial small subunit ribosomal RNA", at positions 29 to 507 of the family's 1533-position model. The record is from RNAcentral.